RNAcentral lists this transfer RNA (71 nucleotides) under Ellipsidion sp. BLA050. Its description in RNAcentral is "tRNA-Tyr". The record is from RNAcentral. Lineage: Eukaryota; Metazoa; Arthropoda; Insecta; Blattodea; Pseudophyllodromiidae.
AGUAGGAUGGCUGAAUAAGGUGAUAAAUUGUAAAUUUAUUUAAGGAUUAGUUGUGAAUAAUCCUUCUACUA